GGGAAUAGAUAAUCUGAGUUUAACAGUAACCACAUUUGCAUAGGGUUUUACUGUUUCCUUUUCUCAUUCAUUUGCCAUUUGAGCCUAAUGAAAGCCUGUGACAGUCAGGAAGGUGAGGAAUUUUUAUGUCUAUUUUACAGAUGAGGAAACUGAGGCCUACUGAGGUGAAGUGACUUCUUUACUCUACUGCAAACAAAGCCCUGACCCAGACUUUGUGAUGUUCUUCUGCUACAACAACCUUCAGAGAUUGCAGCCCCCAUUGACAGCCGGACUACAACCUUAUGAGAGACCCUGAGCUGGAACCACCCAGGUAUACUACUCCUGGCUUCGUGGCCCUUAGAAAUGACUCUUGCUACUCAAUGUGUGAUUCGGGAACCAGCUGCAGCAGCGUCACUGGGGAGCUUGUCGGAAAUGCAGCCACUCAAGCCCUGCUUCAGACAUCCUAAACCAGAAUCUGCAUUUUAACAAGAUCCCCAGGAAGAAAUUCUGGAACCUUGUCAGGACUGAUGCUGCUCCUAGGGUGAAGUGAAGCACAACAGAUAGGUGAACAGACUAGCUGAGACCUGGCUUACCUUUCAUGCAUUGCGAUAAUAAUGGUUGGAGGAAGCAAAGAAACUAGUGAAUUUAUAGAGAGCAAUUUGAGAUUUCCCAUGAAAAUUAUUCUAGAAAUGUGAAGUAUCUUGUUUCUGACCAACUAAGAAUUGAAAUUUUGGUUGUCACAGAUUUUACAUGAUUUUUCUUAAAAAUGUCUAUUCACUACCACACAGAAGUCAAAGAAUAAGAGGCUUUUCACAUUUUUUAAGAAAUAGCAAAGAAGGAAAAGCACUUAAUCUUACUGAGCCUUUAUAAAGCAAAAAUAUUUAGUUGGCUGUGAAGGGGAAGAAAAUGUGCUAUAGAAAACAGAAAAUAUAGCUUUUAGGCAGAUAGGCUGCUUUUUAAAAGAUGACUCUGAUUCCAGGACAAUGACAUAAGAGUUGAAGUGUUAUUUCCUAGUCCCUAUUACAUUUUAACUGUCAAUGAUACUUAAGUAAUGGAAAAUUAUGUUUGUAUGUUUAAAGUAACUAUAAAUUAUACAUUCAUUACAAAACAUUUAUCCCUUGUCUAUUUAUAUACAAUUAUAGCCUUGCUGUCCAGCAUUUUAGAGAACAGGAUGUUGGUUAAUAAAAAUGCCAGUUAAGUAAGUGUUCAUUUUCUCUGAGUUAGUCUCUCUUAUUUCAUUCCUCAUUCUUCCCUACUAAAACGGGCAAAAGACACAUAUCCCAUGUGUCUAAAAAUUAGCAAGAACAAUAAACAACUCUAACUAAAGUCUCCACUGUUUUUCUAGUUUUUUAACAUUGUCUGGCAUUGUCAUUCAGUAAAAAGUUUGUAUGACAGACUAUCAGACAUGCUGAAUCUAGAGUUUCCUAGUUAGUAAAAUACUAGAUACAAAGUUUGGCUGUAAUUAUGCUUUUUGAAAUAUAGUAUAUACAUAUAUAUUUUAUAUACAUGUAAUAUAUACAAUAUAAUUUCUACUAGACUGUAAGCUCCAUGAGGGUAGUGACUAUUUUUCACUUCUGUAUUCACAGACUAUAGCAUAGUAGCUGAAUUAUAGUAAGCAUAUGAUGCAUUUAUUUACUCAUUGACUGAUAUUUAUUAUCUACCAUAUUUCAGGUACUAUUUCUAGAUGCUAAGGAUAUAGGAUUAAAAGAAGGAAGAAAAAGUUUCUGCUCUCAUUGUGUUAUAUUCUAGUAGAGAAUAACAAAUAAAUAGGUAAAAUAUAUAGUACAUACUUUAAGAGAAAGAAAUAAAGCUUUGCAAGUGUUGGAAAACAAUGAGUAUAAGUAUGACUAUGAGAUGAUACCUUUAUUGGGUGGUUGUAGUAGAAGCUGUGUUGUGCCACCCAGAUCUUCCUUCAGGACAAGGCACUCAUUCCUCUAGCUGCCUGGAAUGUUGGCUGCUGAGGGCUCACAGCUCAGUCAGUCUCCAGGAAUUGUCUUUGGUAGAAGGAAGCUGCCUUGCCUGAGGUCAUGCCCCUCUUUGGGGGAGCCUGUAUCCAGUAAAGGGCUCAUACAGUGGUACAGAGCUCCUUUGCCUCAACUGGAACAAUUCUGAGGGUCCAUCUGAGCUCCAGAGCUCCGCAUAGGAUCAGCUGAGGCCUCUGCUGCAACUGCAUCACAGUUCAACUUCUCCCUCGUCUCUAUCCUGCUCCCCUCAUCUUCAUCCAUCAGAGAUGUUGGUCCCAAACACACUCCAUAUUAAACUUCCUCAUGCAAAUCUCAGAUUCUUAGAGUGAAAAGUGUAGAGUGGUGUUUGGAUUGUAUUCUAAGUGCAGUUGUCAAAUAGGUACUUGAUAUUUGAUUCUGGAGUUCAGGGGAGAAGUGGGGCUGAGGAUGUGAAUCUGGAAGUUGCAGCAGUGGCUAAAGCCAUAAGAUUAAAUAAAAAUUACCCUGGAAGUAAGGAUAAAUAUAGAAUAAAAGAAGACUGAGGGCAGAGUUUUGAAACUCUCCACAUUUAGAGAUCAAGAGUAAUGGGAAGAUUCAGCAAAGACGACUGAAAAAAAGCAGCCACUGAGAAGCAGAACUGAAGAGCGGUGUCCCGUAACCAAGAGGAAAACGCGCCGCAAGGAAGGAGGGAAUGAUAAACUGGGUCAAAUGCUAUAGACAGGUUGAGUUGAUGAAAACUGAGUUGACCAUUACAUUUGGCAACAUGGAGGUCAUUGGUGACAAAGACAGCUUCAGUGGAAUGGUGGGGACAAAAGCUUAAUUUGUUGAAUGAAUAUAACACAUCUUAUGAGUUGAGAUUUAUUAAAUGCCUAUGAUGUUGAUACAAUUUGACCUUACUGAUGAAGGUCAAACACU
Trichechus manatus latirostris (Florida manatee) is the source of this 2837-nucleotide long non-coding RNA. RefSeq lists it as uncharacterized. The record is from RefSeq and is a predicted model, not a curated record. The transcript is spliced from 4 exons. NCBI's taxonomy places the organism in Eukaryota, Metazoa, Chordata, Mammalia, Sirenia, Trichechidae.